Molecule: unclassified non-coding RNA, 342 nt
Filed under: soil metagenome
Description: partial contains 5.8S ribosomal RNA, internal transcribed spacer 2, and large subunit ribosomal RNA
Rfam family: 5.8S ribosomal RNA (bases 1-120)
Source: RNAcentral
GAUGAAGAACGCAGCGAAAUGCGAUACGUAGUGUGAAUUGCAGAAUCCAGUGAAUCAUCGAAUCUUUGAACGCACAUUGCGCCCGCCAGCACUCUGGCGGGCAUGCCUGUUCGAGCGUCAUUUCAACCAUCAAGCCCCCAGGGGCUUGUGCUGGGGCCCUGCGGCUGCCCGCAGGCCCUGAAAACCAGUGGCGGGCUCGCUAGUCACACCGAGCGCAGUAGCACAUCUCGCUCAGGGCGUGCGGCGGGCUCCUGCCGUGAAACCCCCCACUGUAACCCCAAAGGUUGACCUCGGAUCAGGUAGGAAUACCCGCUGAACUUAAGCAUAUCAAUAAGCGGAGGA